GUUAUAUGGUCAAGUGAAGAAGCGCAUACGGUGGAUGCCUUGGCAGUCAGAGGCGAUGAAAGACGUGGUAGCCUGCGAAAAGCUUCGGGGAGUCGGCAAACAGACUGUGAUCCGGAGAUGUCUGAAUGGGGGAACCCAGCCAUCACAAGAUGGUUAUCUUACACUGAAUACAUAGGUGUAAGAGGCGAACCAGGGGAACUGAAACAUCUAAGUACCCUGAGGAAAAGAAAUCAACCGAGAUUCCCUUAGUAGUGGCGAGCGAACGGGGACCAGCCCUUAAGUUGUAUUGAGAUUAGCGGAACGCUCUGGAAAGUGCGGCCAUAGUGGGUGAUAGCCCUGUACGCGAAAAUCCCUUUGCAAUGAAAUCGAGUAGGACGGGGCACGAGAAACCUUGUCUGAAUAUGGGGGGACCAUCCUCCAAGGCUAAAUACUACUGACUGACCGAUAGUGAACCAGUACCGUGAGGGAAAGGCGAAAAGAACCGCGGAGAGCGGAGUGAAAUAGAUCCUGAAACCGUAUGCGUACAAGCAGUGGGAGCCCACUUUGUUGGGUGACUGCGUACCUUUUGUAUAAUGGGUCAGCGACUUAUUUUCAGUGGCGAGCUUAACCGAAUAGGGGAGGCGUAGCGAAAGCGAGUCUUAAUAGGGCGUCUAGUCGCUGGGAAUAGACCCGAAACCGGGCGAUCUAUCCAUGGGCAGGUUGAAGGUUGGGUAACACUAACUGGAGGACCGAACCGACUACCGUUGAAAAGUUAGCGGAUGACCUGUGGAUCGGAGUGAAAGGCUAAUCAAGCUCGGAGAUAGCUGGUUCUCCUCGAAAGCUAUUUAGGUAGCGCCUCAUGUAUCACUGUAGGGGGUAGAGCACUGUUUCGGCUAGGGGGUCAUCCCGACUUACCAAACCGAUGCAAACUCCGAAUACCUACAAGUGCCGAGCAUGGGAGACACACGGCGGGUGCUAACGUCCGUCGUGAAAAGGGAAACAACCCAGACCGUCAGCUAAGGUCCCAAAGUCAUGGUUAAGUGGGAAACGAUGUGGGAAGGCUUAGACAGCUAGGAGGUUGGCUUAGAAGCAGCCACCCUUUAAAGAAAGCGUAAUAGCUCACUAGUCGAGUCGGCCUGCGCGGAAGAUGUAACGGGGCUCAAACCAUGCACCGAAGCUACGGGUAUCACCUUUGGUGAUGCGGUAGAGGAGCGUUCUGUAAGCCUGUGAAGGUGAGUUGAGAAGCUUGCUGGAGGUAUCAGAAGUGCGAAUGCUGACAUGAGUAACGACAAUGGGUGUGAAAAACACCCACGCCGAAAGACCAAGGUUUCCUGCGCAACGUUAAUCGACGCAGGGUUAGUCGGUCCCUAAGGCGAGGCUGAAAAGCGUAGUCGAUGGAAAACAGGUUAAUAUUCCUGUACUUCUGGUUAUUGCGAUGGAGGGACGGAGAAGGCUAGGCCAGCCUGGCGUUGGUAGUCCAGGUUUAAGGUGGUAGGCUGAGAUCUUAGGUAAAUCCGGGAUCUUAAGGCCGAGAGCUGAUGACGAGUGUUCUUUUAGAACAUGAAGUGGUUGAUGCCAUGCUUCCAAGAAAAGCUUCUAAGCUUCAGGUAACCAGGAACCGUACCCCAAACCGACACAGGUGGUUGGGUAGAGAAUACCAAGGCGCUUGAGAGAACUCGGGUGAAGGAACUAGGCAAAAUGGCACCGUAACUUCGGGAGAAGGUGCGCCGGUGAGGGUGAAGCAUUUACUGCGUAAGCCCACGCCGGUCGAAGAUACCAGGCCGCUGCGACUGUUUAUUAAAAACACAGCACUCUGCAAACACGAAAGUGGACGUAUAGGGUGUGACGCCUGCCCGGUGCCGGAAGGUUAAUUGAUGGGGUUAGCGCAAGCGAAGCUCUUGAUCGAAGCCCCGGUAAACGGCGGCCGUAACUAUAACGGUCCUAAGGUAGCGAAAUUCCUUGUCGGGUAAGUUCCGACCUGCACGAAUGGCGUAACGAUGGCGGCGCUGUCUCCACCCGAGACUCAGUGAAAUUGAAAUCGCUGUGAAGAUGCAGUGUAUCCGCGGCUAGACGGAAAGACCCCGUGAACCUUUACUAUAGCUUUGCACUGGACUUUGAAUUUGCUUGUGUAGGAUAGGUGGGAGGCUUUGAAGCGUGGACGCCAGUCUGCGUGGAGCCAACCUUGAAAUACCACCCUGGCAACUUUGAGGUUCUAACUCAGGUCCGUUAUCCGGAUCGAGGACAGUGUAUGGUGGGUAGUUUGACUGGGGCGGUCUCCUCCUAAAGAGUAACGGAGGAGUACGAAGGUGCGCUCAGACCGGUCGGAAAUCGGUCGUAGAGUAUAAAGGCAAAAGCGCGCUUGACUGCGAGACAGACACGUCGAGCAGGUACGAAAGUAGGUCUUAGUGAUCCGGUGGUUCUGUAUGGAAGGGCCAUCGCUCAACGGAUAAAAGGUACUCCGGGGAUAACAGGCUGAUACCGCCCAAGAGUUCAUAUCGACGGCGGUGUUUGGCACCUCGAUGUCGGCUCAUCACAUCCUGGGGCUGAAGCCGGUCCCAAGGGUAUGGCUGUUCGCCAUUUAAAGUGGUACGCGAGCUGGGUUUAGAACGUCGUGAGACAGUUCGGUCCCUAUCUGCCGUGGACGUUUGAGAUUUGAGAGGGGCUGCUCCUAGUACGAGAGGACCGGAGUGGACGAACCUCUGGUGUUCCGGUUGUCACGCCAGUGGCAUUGCCGGGUAGCUAUGUUCGGAAAAGAUAACCGCUGAAAGCAUCUAAGCGGGAAACUUGCCUCAAGAUGAGAUCUCACUGGAACCUAGAGUUCCCUGAAGGGCCGUCGAAGACUACGACGUUGAUAGGUUGGGUGUGUAAGCGCUGUGAGGCGUUGAGCUAACCAAUACUAAUUGCCCGUGAGGCUUGACCAUAUAACACCCAAGCAAUU
This 2917-nucleotide ribosomal RNA is filed under the name Pseudomonas syringae pv. actinidiae. Its description in RNAcentral is "bacterial LSU rRNA". It matches the Rfam family "Bacterial large subunit ribosomal RNA". Lineage: Bacteria; Pseudomonadati; Pseudomonadota; Gammaproteobacteria; Pseudomonadales; Pseudomonadaceae. The record is from RNAcentral. RNAcentral also lists the same sequence under 3 other names.